Molecule: long non-coding RNA, 2477 nt
Organism: Tigriopus californicus
Lineage: Eukaryota; Metazoa; Arthropoda; Copepoda; Harpacticoida; Harpacticidae
Exons: 4
Source: RefSeq, a predicted model, not a curated record
AUCAGGUACCACAAGCUUAGCUUUUGGCGCAACUUCAGUUAUUCUCAGAAUGAUUGGCGCAACCUCUCCUUGAUCUCGUCAGCUGAAAGCAAUCACUUCACCCACAAGAAAGCAUCCGAAUUGUGGCCAUUUUGGUGCUUGGAUCUCCUUUGAUUUGCGGCACUCGUGACCUUUGCUUGCAUCAUGUUGAAGCCAAUCAUGACUAGUAUCGACAAGGAUGGAAAUCCAGUGUACGGCGGCACAAUCACCGAUGUUAACACCCUACCCUUCGGCCAAAAUCGUCCUUCGAAAUUAUCUGACAUCUGGAAUUAUCUCGUUCAUGGAAUCCCGAGAGCUCCCAAGGGCCUGAGCUACAAAGGAGAUCGUCAACUCGGAUAAAAGGGAGCCAGUGCGGAAAAUUAAUUGAUUAUGCCAUCGCUGCUAGUUAUUGGGAAACUUGGACCAAGUGUAGUGAUGUGUCCUUAAUAAACAAAAUGCCUGCUCGUCUUUGCUUGAACCUCAGAGUGAAAAUGUAUUGUAUUUGCCUUUGAAUUCUUGCCCAAUCGCUUGGCACUCAGCACUGAUCAGAUCGGGACGUGGAAAUCUGGGCUCGAAAUUCGGCAGGAGAGCACUGGCGCUCACAUUGUAGGCCCAGAUUUGGCUUCAAGGAGAAGUGGCACCAACAAGAACCAAGACUGCUGCCACCGUGGCUACUACUUGACGCUUUCCUCACUCUGGCCCUAGAGAUAUCUAUCUCGAGGGGAACACUUUAUAGAAACCCAUUGCAUUGCGGCAAGAAUUGCUCUUGAGCAAGUCUGCAGUGAAAAUCGACAGCUUCAAAAUGCGAAGUUUUCUUCUAAAGAUUAUCGUGUCUUGGUGCUGGUGCGAGGCUUGGUGCUUAAAUCACACUCUCUUAAACACAACUUCUCUGGAGUCUUUGUCCAUAAACGGUACGGACGAUUCCAGCCCCACUUCGGAUGAUGGUGAUAGCUCCUUGCCAAUUUGGAGAAUACUCCUACUGAUCCUUUUUCUUGGGGUCUUGGUGUCCGCCAUUAUUACCAGGAUUCUGUACGAAAUCAGAAACAAUAGAAACGAAUAAAGAACGUGGGAAGAACGGUGGGCCAAAAGUUUUCAAGGUCCCGCCGCUCGAUCAAGAAAUGGCAAAGAAAUGUGAUACCCAAGCCAAACAAACCACUUUCUCAUUGUUUUACCUCCAAGGUUUUCCACACGGAGUACAAACACAUCGAUCGACUGGGUGAAAAGGCCAUGGUUAAUCCUGCGAGGAAUCCGGCAGGAAUGGCAUUCCAACGAUGGUCCACGCCUAAAGCAUUCCUUAGGAAACAACUGGCCAACUGAAAAGCCAUUUUAACACCCAUUAGACCUUGUCAGUGGAUCCGCAUGUCCAAGCUUUAACUGUUCAACGCAUUGAAAAACUGCCAAUGACGGGACGAUAUGGCAGCAUUUUCUAAUCCCAUUUUCACGCUAAUGUGUUCAUUUAGCCAAGAGGUUUCCCAUUUUGCGUUUUACUCUCUCGUUUGGCGGACAAAAUUGCAAUUACUUCGUGACAUGGCAACAUUAAAAAGACUAUGUGCGAGAUUUUACUAUCAUAACCUAUCGACGGUUCGAUUGGCAGAUUCUGGAUAAGUGUAGGUAAUGUAAAAUCCAAAUGGUGGCAAAGUUCUUGUUAAAGGUAAUUCUGCAGUUGAGAGUUGAUAUUUAUGGGAUCUUCAGAGUUUCGCUUUUGUUUUGAGCUAGCAAUAAAAAGAAUAAGCAGUCUAGCUUCUCGUUUCCCAGAAGGAGAAAAAUUGGCCUCUUCAUCGGGCGAUACCCUCUCUUUUGUAAAAGUCGUCUCGUUUUUAACGUUGUUAUGACGGAAUAACUCAAUUGAGGCCACAAGUUUGGCAAAGCACCUUGUAAACGGCCGGAAAAGAUCCCAAAAAGCAACUCCACAACAGGACAUCUGGUCUGGAAAUAUGAGAGAGGAUUGUCGACAGGCCAUUUCGACUUCGUCCUUGAAUCAUCGGCAAUGCAAAGAGUCCAGCUUGCAAAGCUUGCCCAAUGGCAAAAGGAACUAUAGAGCCCUGUAAUUGGAAUGCAAAACGUGUUUUAAGACAUCAACGUCACUACCAGACUAGUAGAGUUGGGCCUACCUUCAAGCCAUAAACAACGCACGAUUCUUCUGUGUGACCACAAACUGAUUGACCUCUUCUUGGUUCUCUCUUUGACCAGAAGCCGAGAACGAUUUUACCGAUAUAUUUCAUCAAAGGUUCUCUCUCGUCACGAGAAUACGUUUGCUCUGACUUUCCAACCAACAACCUGGGUCAAUGUUACUUUUUUAAAUCUGUUUGAACGCAUCGCUUCAUGAUUAGUUCCAAUUACGGACACACCUUAUCAAUUUUAGAAGAAUAUCUUCAUGAUCGUUGCUGUUGGUCUAUUGUUCACAAAAAGGUUCAAUGUUAGUUCGUAAUUGAUUAAUAAAGUUUUUACCUCCCAUGUUG